CUCACUGUGGCGGGACAUACACUAAAAGUGGACCAACACAGAGAAGAUUAGCAUGGAUGCAAGGAUGACGUGCAAAUUCAUGUAAUGCUCCAUAUUAAA
Molecule: small nuclear RNA, 99 nt
Filed under: Moschus moschiferus (Siberian musk deer)
Lineage: Eukaryota; Metazoa; Chordata; Mammalia; Artiodactyla; Moschidae
Source: RNAcentral